This 71-nucleotide transfer RNA is filed under the name Heterocephalus glaber (naked mole-rat). It matches the Rfam family "tRNA". From Rfam's summary of the family: Transfer RNA (tRNA) molecules are approximately 80 nucleotides in length. Lineage: Eukaryota; Metazoa; Chordata; Mammalia; Rodentia; Bathyergidae. The record is from Rfam by way of RNAcentral.
AGGGAUGUAGCUCAGGGUAGAGCACUUGCCUAGCAUACAGGAGAUCCUGGGUUCAAACCCCAGUACACCAG